Gasterosteus aculeatus aculeatus (three-spined stickleback) is the source of this 1905-nucleotide long non-coding RNA. Lineage: Eukaryota; Metazoa; Chordata; Actinopteri; Perciformes; Gasterosteidae. The record is from Ensembl.
AGUCUAGGUGGAGCCAGCGAUGGAGUCUAGGUGGAGCCAGCGGUGGAGUCUAGGUGGAGCCAGCGAUGGAGUCUAGGUGGAGUCUAGGUGGAGUCUAGGUGGAGCCAGCGGUGGAGUCUAGGUGGAGUUAGCGGUGGAGUCUAGGUGGAGUCUAGGUGGAGCCAGCGGUGGAGUCUGGGUGGAGUUAGCGGUGGAGUCUAGGUGGAGUCAGGGUGGAGUCAGGGUGGAGUCAGGGUGGAGUCAGGGUGGAGUCUGUGCUCCGCGCUGUGUUUUUCCUCGGCGGCCACCUGCUCUGAUUCAACGUGUUCUCACAGCCGUGUUCACACAAGCGCACAACAAAAGCCCCGAUGGAGAUAAAGAGACAAAGAGAAGAGGUUCAGCUAAAGAGCUGUUUGGGUUCUGCGCUGGUCGGUAGACUAGACAGCACCCACAAAACAACACGUCCCUUCAAGGUUCCUCUUGUGUUCUGCUGUAUUUUGGCUCCUGGGGCGACAAGACAAACACGAGCUGUUAAAUAAUCAAUCAUUGCAGCCUCGGCAACCAGAUCCUAACAGGGGCCUUCUGCAGGACAGGACCGCCCCAACGUGGACUCCCUCCCCAACGUGGACUCCCGCCCCAACGUGGACUCCCUCCCCAACCGACGGGACUCUCGACCUGCACCCCCCUCGCCCCCCAGAGCGACGCGGCACGGCGGCGAUGACGCUCUGCCAAAGGAGACUUCACAGUCAGACCAAACAAGCACACAAUCUAGUCAGCCACUUCAACCAAGUCACAGAUAAGCACCGCAUAUCUGUACACACACACACACACACACACACACACACACCCACACACACACACAAGCGCCAACGCCUCCGUCGGUAAAGCCCACAUCCUUCCACCGCGGGGGGGGGGGGGGGGGGGCACGGGUCGUUUUUCCCAGCCGGCGUGUCAGCAGACCACUGCACUGAGAAACCACGCAGCUGUUUGGUGAUUGUUGCCAUGGCAACGGUAAACAAGGGGCGAUGAACAAACACCUCAUGCUGGAGCCGUUUUAAUAUUAACACAGUGGAAUAAUCAGCCGAUUUGCUAGGUGACACUCGGGGGAGGCCCAGUGUAAACAAGUUGUGGGAGGGGACGGGGUGUCGGGGGGGCUUUAGGGAACCGAGGUCGAUGCAGAUGCAGCUCGGGGCUAAAAUAAACAGCCAGGCAGAAGAUAAACACAAAGUCGCUCUUCAGACGUUUCUGAAGACGUUCUAAAGCUGCUGUGUUCGCAGAAACAAAAGACAAGGCCCGGCCCCCCCCAACCCGCCCCAACCCCGCCCCUCUGGAGCGGCCUGCCGAGGAUACGCGCGCCUUUCCUUCCCGACCCGACAAAUGGCGGCUCCUCGCAGGGCGGCGGGCGACGUGUUAAACUUGUGUUGAAACAUGUUAAACAUCGACCUCGUUCAAUUAUUCAGCGGGCGGCUUCGUGGAAACAACAAAGGAAGUCUGAGGUGCAUCAACGAGCGCACAACACGAAAGAAGAGGGUCAGAAGAGACGGCGUCCGCCACGGGGCCGAGUGCGGCGCCUUUGAUUGCUUCAUUAACGGCGCGACAUCCAAGUCUUCCACCAAUGAGCAGCGAUUAGGAGGACAGGGGGGGGCAACGGGACGUUCAAAGCUGCACCUUGACCAUGAAUUUUUCAUGAAUACAACAACCUGCCAUCUGCUGAUGUGCAGCUAAUGACGCUCCCCCACCUGAGAUGCCCCCCCCCCUCACCCCCUUCCCCCUGCGGAUGCCCAUUUAAUCCCCCCAGAAACACAGUUACCCACUCGUAAGGGGGGCACGAAAUGGAGCGAGGGGCGCCAAAGCCACAUAUUUAUGACACGCGUGGGGGCGGCGGGGACGGGACCCCCGAGCGUAAAAAUGUGCGACUGUUCUCGA